GGUGGCUGAACUGAAAUCAACAC
RNAcentral lists this non-coding RNA (23 nucleotides) under Cricetulus griseus (Chinese hamster). Lineage: Eukaryota; Metazoa; Chordata; Mammalia; Rodentia; Cricetidae. The record is from RNAcentral.